GCCCAAUGGGACUCGAAACAUGUAAGUCAUUGCGUGGGCUUUGACCCGUACACACAUCAAAAUGUGUUCAUCACCUGCGCGUUCAUCCUGAACUUCAAAAGGUCUAUCAUAAGUUAGGUUAUCUCAUAAUCAUUGUUUCAUAAUCACAAGACAAGAAUGUCAAACCGGUAAUUGAAAAAAAAAAUAAAUCAGUAUACUAUUGUUUCAUUAAUUAGCAAAGGAAAGUGGCAACUUUUAAGAUAAGUUAGCAAAAUAAUGCAAUUCUUAUACAGAUGGCUGUACAGCUGUAGAGCCACCCUUUAGUAUAUUGGCAGAGUAAAAAAGGAUCACAAUUUAUCUUUUUUCUCUGAAUAAGUUAGAAUGAUCAUUAUUUACACAUCCAAACUCUGGUUGGUGCUAUGGCUAACGUAUAAGCAACAUUCUUAUAACAAAAAACAAACAAAUGCGAGUCAAAUGGGCUAGGAUUGGAAUAACAACGGAAUUCAAGUUUUUUUUUUAUCGAAAUUCAAGUUAAUAGAACAUAACAAUGUAAAAGAAUUUCAUUUAGGAAUCCAUCUUCCUCAUUCUUUGUAUUCCAACCAUAAAUUUAUGACUUCCCAUCAAAAUUAUUCAGGAUAUAUAGUUACUAGUUGACAUCAAGAAGCCCAAUCAAUGAUAGCGCAUGCUCAUAGAAAUAAAGGCCAUGAUGCAAGCAUCCAGACAUUUUACAUGGGAUGAUAAUCAACCAAGCAAUUAAUUAAUAUUUAAAUUAAUGCCACAAGUAUACCAUUUCACUUUCAGAAGAAAGCAGAAAAAUACAAAUAUUUGUGCACAAGGUAUAGUGCGUCAUUGAUAAGAAAGUACACUCAAAUCGGUGAGGCCAAUAAUGAAGAAUCCAUGUACAAGGGAUGCCCACAAAUGCGCAAUGCUGAGAAGACUAUCUCCAGUGGUCGUCUUCGACUGCAGUGAUUGGAUUUACUGGAUUUGAGCCAAUUUCGAUGUCAACCACGAAAGAAACCUUACAAUCUCACUCAUAACAUGCAUAAAUGAGAGUAGGUGUUCAAUGGUGGGAAAAGGCGGAGGAGGAAGAUCAGUAAGAGGGGAGACGAGGAGUCGGCAAUAGGAGUAUAGGUGGAGCAGGCAGGAGUGAGUAUGGGAGGAGGUGGAGGAGAAAGAGGCAGAGAAGUGGGAGGCUUACAUUUUUUUCAUUUCAUUUUUCAUUGAUCAUAUAAAGACCCGUUUUACUAAUUUAAUUCAUCUAGGAUCCACG
RNAcentral lists this long non-coding RNA (1249 nucleotides) under Coffea arabica (coffee). RNAcentral describes it as "long non-coding RNA (CARA_LNC008256)". Lineage: Eukaryota; Viridiplantae; Streptophyta; Magnoliopsida; Gentianales; Rubiaceae. The record is from RNAcentral.